CACAAACUUAAGUAAAAAGAUACCUGAUGAUGCUGACCUACCUUCAAUAGGCCAGGAUUUAGACAGUCUCAUGGGUACCAUUGGGACAUUUGAAGAAACCCCGGUUGAAGAAGGUGUGAAGGACACAAUCGAUCAACCGAUCACAAAAGAUGCUGUUUCAGCUUCUGGCGAUGAAAUGCCGAAGGUCACUGACCAAUCAGAGAGACGCAUCUCACAUGAAUCCACAUUAAAAGAUGGGCAACUUGACAUACAUGUAGAAGAGGAAUCUACUGUACAGACAACACCAACACAUCCUAGUCAAGUAAGACACUUUUAUAUACU
Patiria miniata (bat star) is the source of this 321-nucleotide long non-coding RNA. RefSeq lists it as uncharacterized. The transcript is spliced from 3 exons. Lineage: Eukaryota; Metazoa; Echinodermata; Asteroidea; Valvatida; Asterinidae. The record is from RefSeq and is a predicted model, not a curated record.